Molecule: long non-coding RNA, 1887 nt
Filed under: Paramuricea clavata
Lineage: Eukaryota; Metazoa; Cnidaria; Anthozoa; Malacalcyonacea; Plexauridae
Source: RNAcentral
UAGAGGCAUUUAAAUUUUGGAAGAAUCAUUUCGCUUUCAUUGCUUGUUGGAGCAGCUUGUUGGAGGUGGACAAUACGUUAAAACACGCUUAGCACUCGAAGUUUGUUGUAAAAAUGGAAGACGACGUUGCGGCUUUAGUUGUUGAUAAUGGAUCGGGUAUGUGCAAAGCUGGUUUCGCCGGCGACGAUGCACCAAGAGCUGUUUUCCCCUCCAUCGUCGGUCGUCCUCGCCAUCAAGGUGUGAUGGUUGGUAUGGGCCAGAAAGAUUCGUAUGUUGGCGACGAGGCCCAAAGCAAAAGAGGUAUCCUUACCUUGAAAUACCCCAUCGAACACGGCAUCGUCACAAACUGGGACGAUAUGGAGAAGGUAAGUUUUUGUGCUUUGUUUUAAGUUGUCGUUUUCGCUUCGGCUUGUGGGUAACGCCCAUUCUAUUCGUUUUAGAUUUGGCACCAUACGUUUUACAACGAACUCCGAGUGGCACCAGAAGAACACCCCGUCCUCCUUACAGAAGCUCCCUUAAACCCGAAAGCCAACCGAGAAAAAAUGACACAGGUAUGAAAAUGUACACAAUUAAUAGCCAUAUUUGUACUUCUGUAGACUCACGACAAAAUUGCGUCACAGCCGCCUAGUUUCUCCUUCUGAUGUCAAGUAUUUUAUCUAAGAGACCAGGAUAUUCGUAUAUAUAUACCCCUAAUUUUAAGUUCCGAAAUCCCUGCAUUGAAGAUGUGUUAUUUGUUUUCCACGAGUCCUGUUAUUAAUAAAAAAUGUUCGUGGUUCGUUUAACCUGCAUGGUCUUUUGAAGAUAUGCUUGCUUUUAAUUCAUUUUAAAACAAAAAUUUAACGUGCCCUGGAACGAUUGGCACUGUAAACAUUUUUUAAUUUUUUAUGUUUUUAAUUUUUACAGAUCAUGUUUGAAACCUUCAACACCCCAGCUAUGUAUGUGGCCAUCCAGGCUGUGUUGUCCCUGUAUGCUUCUGGUCGUACCACAGGAAUCGUGUUCGACAGCGGUGAUGGUGUCUCCCACACUGUACCAAUCUAUGAAGGUUAUGCCUUGCCUCAUGCUAUCCUUCGUCUUGAUUUGGCUGGCCGUGAUCUUACAGAUUACCUCAUGAAAAUCUUGACGGAGAGAGGUUACUCGUUCACCACAACCGCUGAACGAGAAAUCGUCCGUGAUAUCAAAGAGAAAUUGGCCUAUGUCGCAUUGGACUUUGAACAAGAAAUGGACACUGCUGCAAGCAGUUCGAGCUUGGAGAAGGCCUACGAGCUUCCUGACGGUCAGGUUAUCACCAUCGGUAACGAGAGAUUCCGAUGCCCAGAAGCACUCUUCCAACCAUCAUUCCUUGGAAUGGAAUCUGCUGGUAUCCAUGAAACCUGUUACAACUCCAUCAUGAAAUGCGACGUCGAUAUCAGGAAAGAUUUGUAUGCUAACACCGUGUUGUCUGGUGGUUCUACUAUGUUCCCUGGUAUUGCCGAUAGGAUGCAGAAAGAAAUCACCGCUCUCGCUCCACCUACGAUGAAAAUCAAGGUGAUUGCUCCUCCAGAAAGGAAAUACUCUGUCUGGAUUGGUGGCUCCAUCCUGGCUUCCCUUUCGACCUUCCAGCAGAUGUGGAUCUCGAAACAGGAAUACGACGAGUCUGGACCAUCUAUUGUUCACAGGAAGUGCUUCUAAACUUUUGGACACAUAGUGACUUUCUAAUCACAAUAACAAUAGCGGUUUAACGUAAUUUGGUUGUAAAAUUUAUAAUGUGUCCAGAAAUGGAACCAAAUUGUUUAUAUUUUUUGGACGAGAGUGUUUAAAUGUCUGUACAGGUCAACAAGUAAUUCAUGCAAAACUUCAAAAAUUCGCAUUUAAUAAAAAAAGUUAAAAUUUUCUAAAUCUGUUGUCAAC